AUUGAACGCUGGCGGCAUGCCUUACACAUGCAAGUCGAACGGUAACAGGUCUUCGGAUGCUGACGAGUGGCGAACGGGUGAGUAAUACAUCGGGACGUGCCUAGUAGUGGGGGAUAACUACUCGAAAGAGUGGCUAAUACCGCAUGAGAUCUACGGAUGAAAGCAGGGGAUCGCAAGACCUUGUGCUACUAGAGCGGCCGAUGGCAGCUUAGGUAGUUGGUGGGAUAAAAGCUUACCAAGCCGAAGAUCUGUAGCUGGUCUGAGAGGACGAUAAGCAACACUGGGACUGAGACACGGCCCAGACUCCUACGGGAGGCAGCAGUGGGGAAUUUUGGACAAUGGGCGAAAGCCUGAUCCAGCAAUGCCGCGUGCAGGAUGAAGGCCUUCGGGUUGUAAACUGCUUUUGUACGGAACGAAAAGCCCCGGGUUAAUACCCUGGGGUCAUGACGGUACCGUAAGAAUAAGCACCGGCUAACUACGUGCCAGCCGCCGCCGUAA
This 498-nucleotide ribosomal RNA is filed under the name uncultured bacterium. Its description in RNAcentral is "partial 16S ribosomal RNA". It matches the Rfam family "Bacterial small subunit ribosomal RNA", at positions 30 to 523 of the family's 1533-position model. The record is from RNAcentral.